Long non-coding RNA from Quercus robur (English oak), 982 nucleotides. RefSeq lists it as uncharacterized. The transcript is spliced from 2 exons. Lineage: Eukaryota; Viridiplantae; Streptophyta; Magnoliopsida; Fagales; Fagaceae. The record is from RefSeq and is a predicted model, not a curated record.
GGUAUUUAUGACAUCGUAUGGUAUGACAUUAAUUAUUGAUAUAGGUUAGCAGCCAAUGUAAUAUCUGUUCUAAAGAGUCUCUAUUUCAAAUAUUGCAUUGUUUUUUAUCCUACCAGUUCUAUGGACUAGAAAAAAAGUCAUCCAUUUUGAUGGAAACAAAAUGGAUUUUAUUUCAUACAUGGAACCAUAUGGCUCACUGAUUAUAGGAUUAAACUAAAUGAAGAUGCUUGUUAUGAAUGUACAUUACUGAUCACACUGCGCUUGGUAUUAGAAAUUUUCCUUUGUUAGUUUAACUGGAGUAGCCUGUAUGUGUUCUUUUUUGAGAUAAUUGACUGAUUAAUGUUGUAAGUAACAGUAAUCGUAGUGUUCAAUUGCAUUGUCUAAAGUGGCAUGUUGCAUUUACUCUUUCCUUCCUUAUCUUAUCAGCAUCACAGUCUGUAAAGAAAAUCAUUGAAAUCAAUCCUUACAUGCUUGGCACUAUGGUUGGAGGAGUUGCUGACUGUCAGUUUUGGCACAGAAAUCUGGGCAUUAAGUGCCGAUUGCACGGAUUGGCAAACAAGCGCAGAAUUUCAGUCACAAGGGCAUUAAAGCUGUUGGCAAACAUUCUGUACUCUUACUGUUGAAUGGGUCUGUCUAUUGGGACCACGAUUGCUGGAUGGGAUGAGAUUGUAAAGACACAUGACUGUAUCAUGUCAUGUUAUUAUGUACUCUUUUAAGCAGACUCUUGUAAUUUGUAUUUUCUAUGGGUUGUAGAUAGUAUUACUUUCCUUUAAAUAUCAGAUAUAAGAGCAAACAAUAAAGGACUGGGAAAAUAUAUAAAAUAUAUAAAAUAAAGGACUGGGAAAAUCCUUUCCUUUUGGACUUGAAUUUUGCUUUAAAUCACCCAUACUUGCUCCUCCAAACUCCUUCUCCCUGCUUUCUGUCCAGGUUUAUGGAUGUAUGAGUGGACUGAAUUGAGGGCUAAGCAUUGAAAUUUGAAAGA